Molecule: ribosomal RNA, 100 nt
Filed under: Eleusine coracana subsp. africana (African finger millet)
Lineage: Eukaryota; Viridiplantae; Streptophyta; Magnoliopsida; Poales; Poaceae
Description: 5.8S ribosomal RNA
Rfam family: 5.8S ribosomal RNA
About the family: 5.8S ribosomal RNA (5.8S rRNA) is a component of the large subunit of the eukaryotic ribosome. It is transcribed by RNA polymerase I as part of the 45S precursor that also contains 18S and 28S rRNA.
Source: RNAcentral
ACCUGGUGUGAAUUGCAUAAUCCCGUGAACCAUCGAAUUUUUGAACGCAAGUUGCGCCCGAGGCCUUUUGGUCGAGGGCACGUCUGCCUGGGCGUCACGU